Molecule: ribosomal RNA, 411 nt
Filed under: Triticum aestivum (bread wheat)
Lineage: Eukaryota; Viridiplantae; Streptophyta; Magnoliopsida; Poales; Poaceae
Description: partial small subunit ribosomal RNA
Source: RNAcentral
AUGUUGGAGGCCACAAGGGCGAGGAGAUGGAGGCAGAGGGCAGAGAGUAUCCGCGACGACGCCAUGUCAUGGACUCAGUGCGUGAAGGUGUGGAAGGAUGCAGGGAAGGACAUGGAGGCAGAUCUCACGUUCCUGAUGGGAAAGGUAUGUAGAGAUCUGCAGGAGACAGGCAGAUCAGGAGUUGGCAAAUUUUACUUUGUGGGUACGGAGUUGGUGCGGACGAGGAUACCGCUGCCAUCCGCGGCGUUGGUGGCCUUUAUAACUUGGGUGAAACAAGAGGUGAAGUCAGAAGAUCCACAUCAUAGUGCAAGGUGGGAGUGCAUGCUGGGAUUAAUGCCCACUAGAGUUCCAUCUCCGCCAGAGCCAGUGGAUCCGUUACUAUUUCUCUCGCCCGAGCCGACAAUGGACUGA